CUGCCAUAUCACAUUGAAACACCUGUUCUCAUACGAUCACCAAAGGUAAAUGACAUCAAGUCUGGUCAGUACCUAGAUAGGUGACUGCUUAGGAAUACCAGGUGUUGUAAG
Non-coding RNA from Acanthosepion pharaonis, 111 nucleotides. The record is from the annotation of a GenBank genome assembly. NCBI's taxonomy places the organism in Eukaryota, Metazoa, Mollusca, Cephalopoda, Sepiida, Sepiidae.